CACUCAGGUUCUCUGUAGAUGUCGCGAUGGAGGAAUGAGCCAAUUAGGAAGCUUUCCCUGAUGUCAAUAUCGGGGAGUUCGACGAACAUUCCCUCGAUCAAGUGACGAGCUUCUCUAAGGCUGACCAUAGAUUGCUUGCUGAUAUGCUAUCGGAGUAAGCACAUCGUGAGGCUACAGGACCAACUAUUGAGGU
Molecule: microRNA precursor, 193 nt
Filed under: Asparagus officinalis (garden asparagus)
Lineage: Eukaryota; Viridiplantae; Streptophyta; Magnoliopsida; Asparagales; Asparagaceae
Description: miR12156 stem-loop (aof-MIR12156)
Source: miRBase by way of RNAcentral